Molecule: long non-coding RNA, 787 nt
Organism: Rhinichthys klamathensis goyatoka
Lineage: Eukaryota; Metazoa; Chordata; Actinopteri; Cypriniformes; Leuciscidae
Exons: 3
Source: RefSeq, a predicted model, not a curated record
AGGGGGUGAACCGACCUCCUGGAGAUUCAGGAUGUGAUACAGCAGCAGUUCAAAGGACAGAGCCAUUGAACCACCAGAAAGAAGUCUGACAGGAAAUGAGGACCAGAGGGACAAUUAUUGCACCUCUAAUGGUGGUUUUAAAUGGUUCCAGUUCUCGGAGCGAGCUCUUACUCCCUGCCAUGGGAGUGACACCAUAAAGUGCAGGAGCUACACUGAGAGCAAAGGUUCCUGGAGAUUUGAACGCCACUGCAAGCCUAAAAUAACCCCGCAAGUUCAACCAAUCAAAGGAGAAUCCAUUAAGAGGCACAAAUUCCCAGUUGCCGCUUAUAAAUGUAACUGCGUCCAAAAACUGCCGCCUCUAUCUCAGGAUGGCAAGGGUUGAGCUGGUGCUGUGGGAUUGUGAACACCAGUCAAUCAAGGUCAUGUGGACCCCGAUGGCUUCUCCCCACGGCAACAGUAAUCAAUUGCCCUAUGGACCUUUGUAAAAUGCAGCAAAAAGGGAGCAAUAACUCUACUGGCACCAAAGAAACAGAAAAUAAUGUUAUGCGUAUUGGCUUUGCUCCACUCGGGUACAUUUCAUCAGGAAAAAGAGAAGGACUUGAAAAGCUAAAUCAAUAGUUAAUUAUAUCGGGCAUAAACAUAAAUACAGUUGUGCUAAUGCCUUGGUGAGAAUUGCUAAGUAUUGGUCUUGGUGGGUUUUAAGAGACCCAUUUCAUCUUAUGUAGCCGAUAGUCUAUUAAAUGGACAUGGUGUAUUUGUAUCCAAAUAAUGUUCUUACGUACAAAAA